UACGUAGGGUGCGAGCGUUAAUCGGAAUUACUGGGCGUAAAGGGUGCGCAGGCGGUUUUGUAAGCCAGAUGUGAAAUCCCCGGGCUUAACCUGGGAACUGCGUUGGAAACUUUGAGACUGGAGUGCGGCAGAGGGGGGUGGAAUUCCAUGUGUAGCAGUGAAAUGCGUAGAGAUAUGGAGGAACACCGAUGGCGAAGGCAGCCCCCUGGGUUGACACUGACGCUCAUGCACGAAAGCGUGGGGAGCAAACAGG
This 253-nucleotide ribosomal RNA is filed under the name uncultured bacterium. Its description in RNAcentral is "partial 16S ribosomal RNA". It matches the Rfam family "Bacterial small subunit ribosomal RNA", at positions 524 to 776 of the family's 1533-position model. The record is from RNAcentral.